AAAUUGCCAGGGGAUUUUUGAUAUCUCGAACGGUUUGCUCGUGGCGAGGCGUUGAAAUUAUGGCGAGAAAUGAGAAACAGGAAGUGUCUAAUAACAUCCACAUACAUUUCCUGAUUUUAAUUAAACUUCAUCAAUUUGUUCGUUGUAUGAUGCCGAUCGCAUAUAUGUGACUAUUAGGAGUCAAAAUUAUAGCGCCACCAACUGGCAGCAGGAAGUGUGUCAUUUUCAAAAUGCUUUGAAUUCAGCAUCUUAUUUUUACUCAAUUUGCUUCAAACUUCAUCAGAAUAAUGACAAAACACGGCCCAUGUAAAACUGUUGAGGG
Molecule: long non-coding RNA, 322 nt
Organism: Cyprinus carpio carpio
Lineage: Eukaryota; Metazoa; Chordata; Actinopteri; Cypriniformes; Cyprinidae
Source: Ensembl